Molecule: ribosomal RNA, 485 nt
Filed under: uncultured bacterium
Lineage: Bacteria
Description: bacterial SSU rRNA
Rfam family: Bacterial small subunit ribosomal RNA
Source: RNAcentral
GCAAGUCGAGCGGACCGAAGGGAGCUUGCUCCUUUAGGUUAGCGGCGGACGGGUGAGUAACACGUGGGCAACCUGCCCUGCAGACUGGGAUAACUUCGGGAAACCGGAGCUAAUACCGGAUAACACCGAAAACCGCAUGGUUUUCGGUUGAAAGGCGGCAUUAGCUGUCACUGCAGGAUGGGCCCGCGGCGCAUUAGCUAGUUGGUGAGGUAACGGCUCACCAAGGCGACGAUGCGUAGCCGACCUGAGAGGGUGACCGGCCACACUGGGACUGAGACACGGCCCAGACUCCUACGGGAGGCAGCAGUAGGGAAUCUUCCGCAAUGGACGAAAGUCUGGCGGAGCAACGCCGCGUGAGCGAAGAAGGUCUUCGGAUCGUAAAGCUCUGUUGUCAGGGAAGAACAAGUACCGUUCGAACAGGGCGGUACCUUGACGGUACCUGACGAGGAAGCCACGGCUAACUACGUGCCAGCAGCCGCGGUAAU